Molecule: unclassified non-coding RNA, 340 nt
Organism: Myotis lucifugus (little brown bat)
Lineage: Eukaryota; Metazoa; Chordata; Mammalia; Chiroptera; Vespertilionidae
Gene: 7SK
Rfam family: 7SK RNA
About the family: 7SK was discovered as an abundant small nuclear RNA in the mid-70s but a possible function has only recently been suggested.
Source: Ensembl
GGAUUUGAGGGCGAGCUGGCUCUGCGACAUCUGUCACCCCAUUGAUCACUAGGGUUGAUUUGGCUGAUCUGGCUGCCUAUGCGGGUGUCCACUCAUCCCACACCCAUCUAUUUGUAUCCCUCCCUUAACUGCGUGCUGGGUCAGAGGACAGCCUUACCCCCAGAGGAAAGGACUGGUCUUCCAUCAAGGGUAUAUGAGUAGCUGAGCUUCCGAUAGAACCUUCAAACAAGCUCUCAAAACAUGCCGUCUUCAUCACUUUCUAGUUGUUUUUUUAAGGAAGAGCAGAGUAGAAGGAUGAAAUAAUAUGCAAAUAUCAGAUACCCCACAUUGUGUUUUAUUU